RNAcentral lists this ribosomal RNA (484 nucleotides) under uncultured bacterium. RNAcentral's name for it is "partial 16S ribosomal RNA". It matches the Rfam family "Bacterial small subunit ribosomal RNA", at positions 30 to 507 of the family's 1533-position model. The record is from RNAcentral.
AUUGAACGCUGGCGGCAGGCCUAACACAUGCAAGUCGAGCGGAUGAAGGGAGCUUGCUCCUGGAUUCAGCGGCGGACGGGUGAGUAAUGCCUAGGAAUCUGCCUGGUAGUGGGGGAUAACGUCCGGAAACGGGCGCUAAUACCGCAUACGUCCUGAGGGAGAAAGUGGGGGAUCUUCGGACCUCACGCUAUCAGAUGAGCCUAGGUCGGAUUAGCUAGUUGGUGGGGUAAAGGCCUACCAAGGCGACGAUCCGUAACUGGUCUGAGAGGAUGAUCAGUCACACGGGAACUGAGACACGGUCCAGACUCCUACGGGAGGCAGCAGUGGGGAAUAUUAGGCAAUGGGCGAAAGCCUGAUCCAGCCAUGCCGCGUGUGUGAAGAAGGUCUUCUGAUUGGAAAGCACUUUAAGUUGGGAGGAAGGGCAGUAAGUUAAUACCUUGCUGUUUUGACGUUACCAACAGAAUAAGCACCGGCUAACUUCGUG